CCUACGGGUGGCAGCAGUGGGAAUAUUGGACAAUGGGCGAAAGCCUGAUCCAGCCAUGCCGCGUGUGUGAAGAAGGCCUUCGGGUUGUAAAGCACUUUCAGUGGGGAAGAAAGCCUUGGGGCUAAUACCCUCGAGGAAGGACAUCACCCACAGAAGAAGCACCGGCUAACUCCGUGCCAGCAGCCGCGGUAAUACGGAGGGUGCGAGCGUUAAUCGGAAUUACUGGGCGUAAAGCGCGCGUAGGCGGUCUGAUAAGCCGGUUGUGAAAGCCCCGGGCUCAACCUGGGAACGGCAUCCGGAACUGUCAGGCUAGAGUGCAGGAGAGGAAGGUAGAAUUCCCGGUGUAGCGGUGAAAUGCGUAGAGAUCGGGAGGAAUACCAGUGGCGAAGGCGGCCUUCUGGACUGACACUGACGCUGAGGUGCGAAAGCGUGGGUAGCAAACAGGAUUAGAUACCCGGGUAGUC
RNAcentral lists this ribosomal RNA (464 nucleotides) under Vreelandella stevensii. RNAcentral's name for it is "partial 16S ribosomal RNA". It matches the Rfam family "Bacterial small subunit ribosomal RNA", at positions 338 to 795 of the family's 1533-position model. Lineage: Bacteria; Pseudomonadati; Pseudomonadota; Gammaproteobacteria; Oceanospirillales; Halomonadaceae. The record is from RNAcentral.